UAAUACGUAGGUGGCAAGCGUUGUCCGGAUUUAUUGGGCGUAAAGCGAGCGCAGGCGGUUUCUUAAGUCUGAUGUGAAAGCCCCCGGCUCAACCGGGGAGGGUCAUUGGAAACUGGGAGACUUGAGUGCAGAAGAGGAGAGUGGAAUUCCACGUGUAGCGGUGAAAUGCGUAGAGAUGUGGAGGAACACCAGUGGCGAAGGCGACUCUCUGGUCUGUAACUGACGCUGAGGCGCGAAAGCGUGGGGAGCAAACAGGAUUAGAUACCCUGGUAGUCCACGCCGUAAACGAUGAGUGCUAAGUGUUAGAGGGUUUCCGCCCUUUAGUGCUGCAGCUAACGCAUUAAGCACUCCGCCUGGGGAGUACGACCGCAAGGUUGAA
Molecule: ribosomal RNA, 379 nt
Filed under: uncultured bacterium
Lineage: Bacteria
Description: bacterial SSU rRNA
Rfam family: Bacterial small subunit ribosomal RNA
Source: RNAcentral